UUAAUGUUUGAUUCUGUCUUUAUAAAUUAGCUUAUUCAUUAAGUUAUAUGGAAAUUUAUUAAUUAUUUUAAUUCCAGUAAUAAAUAUUUUAAAUAGAUUUAGUUCUGAAAUAGUAAAUGAUAUUUAAAGUAGAUAAAAUUUGUGCCAGCAUUCGCGGUUAGACAAUUUACUUUAGUUAAUUUUAUAGAAUUUAAUUUAAAAUUUAUUUAACAAGAAGAUAUUUUUAUUUUAUUUAGGUGGAAUUUAUAUUUUAAUUUAUUUUUCUUUUAUUUAAUGCGUUUAGAAAAUUUUAUUACUAAACUAGGAUUAGAUACCCUAUUAUUUUUAAUGUAAUUGUUAAUUCUGAAUAGUAAAAGUUAUUUUCUUUAAAGCUCAAAGAAUUUGGCGGUAAAGUAUCUUCUUAGAGGAACCUGUAGAUAAAUUGAUAAACCACGAUAUAAUCUACUUCUUACUUAUUUGUAUACCGCUAUAUAAAAGAAUGUUCUUAUAGGAUAUUUUCUUUUUCUUUAAUGAUUUAUAUUAGGUCAAGGUGCAGUUUUUAAGAAGUUUCUAUGGGUUACUAUAAUAAUAAAUUUAUAGGUUAACUUAAGAAAUUUAUUGAGUUUAUAAAAAGGAUUUAAAAGUAAAUUUAUCUAAUUAGUUUGUUUGAAUUUAGCACUACUUUAUGCACAUAUCGCCCGUCACUCCUAAAAUAAUUUAGGAUAAGUCGUAACAAAGUAAUUUUACCGGAAGGUGAGGUUAGUAGUUA
RNAcentral lists this non-coding RNA (748 nucleotides) under Nephotettix nigropictus. Lineage: Eukaryota; Metazoa; Arthropoda; Insecta; Hemiptera; Cicadellidae. The record is from RNAcentral.